CACUCGGUGCUGGUGUGGACCGCAUCACCUGGGACCCACAGAACACACUUGGUGCUGGUGUGGACCGCAUCACCUGGGACCCACAGAACACACUUGGUGCUGGUGUGGACCGCAUCUCACCUCAGGAAAGUGGGCCGUCCUUACCAGUACAGCCUCUGCCUCCUGGAGUGACGCAGGUGUCAAAUGGUUCUUCAGCCAAUGAGCGGACCGACCAGCUUUCUUCACAGAGCACAAAGUCUGGAUGGUUCCGUGGAUGGUUCAAGUCCAAAACUCCAGACAUUCAGGAGUGAUCGCAGGAAGUGACAUCAUCACCUGACAGUUCUGCUUUAUAGCAGGCAGCGAGAUUGCACUUGAUUAUGUUUACCACAGCAGCGAUACACACACUUGAAGAAGGUAAUCAAAGAAUAUACACUAUAUGUACCAAUAUACAAAGUUGUGUAA
Molecule: long non-coding RNA, 441 nt
Organism: Entelurus aequoreus (snake pipefish)
Lineage: Eukaryota; Metazoa; Chordata; Actinopteri; Syngnathiformes; Syngnathidae
Exons: 5
Source: RefSeq, a predicted model, not a curated record